GAAGAAGGGUCAGAGUCAGAGAUUUGAAGAUGCUACAGCUGGUGGCUUUUAAGGUGGAGGAAAGGGCCUCGGACCAAGGAAUGCCGGCCUGUUGUUGUAGUUAGUGCCCCCUAGUCAAUUCUGACUCCUAGUGACCCUGUGUACAGCAGAGCUGAAGCCUGCAUGGUCUUUUUGUGCCAUCCCUCUCACCUUCCAGCUCUAUAUCAGACAAUGUUCUGCUGCUAUCCAUAAGGUUUUCAUGGCCACUUUUUUCAAACGUGGGUGGCCAGGUCCUUCUUCCUACUCUAGCUCAGUCUAGAAACUCAACUGAAAUCUGAAACCUGUACUGGUAGCAUAGCUUUCAGCAACACACGGCUGCCACAGUAUGACAGCCCACAGAUGAGUAGUGUGACUCCCUGACUGGGAAAUGAAAACCCAGCUGUGGCGAUGAGACUGCUGAAUCUUAACCACCAGACCAUUAGGACUGGCAGGCAACCUGUAGAAGCUGGAAAAUGCAAGGAAACUGAUUCUCCUGUAGAGCCUCCAGAAGGAAUUCCACCUGGCUGACACCUUGAUUUUAGCCCAGGAAGACCCAUUCCGGCUUUCUGACCUCCACAACUGCGAGAAGAUAAACAGCUGCCACCAUAGCAUGGCCACUGAUGAAUGGUGUAUGUCUGCUCCCAGGAACUGAACCCAGAAUGCCAAAGUGGAGUGCACUGAACUUAACCGUUAGGCCACUGGGGCUGGCCCUAUUCUUCCUUUUUCUUGAAAGGUUAUGCACAAGACACUAGAGAAGCACAGAAUGCCAAGAAAGAGCCAGGAAACUGAGGCUCAAUGAAGAGAAGUGAUUUGCACAAGGUCAACUAAUAAAGCAUUAUGUGUCACUUCCAACUUUAAAGAGAAAUAGAAGCCACCAGGCAGUGCACAUCAGACUUCACUACUGGAUUGCAGAUGACUGUUGUCACCUUGAGAAACUAUUAAAUUAAUCAAUUUCUCCCCAAGGUUGGCAUUAACUACUGACAUUUUAAUUGCACAACAGUAUUAACAAUCCUUGUAAUGCUUCAAAUGUUUGUCUAAAGCUGUUCAUGGCCAGCUUUUGUGUGUUUAGAAUGGGAUUAGAUGAAGUUUGUUUAUUAUUGUGUUAAUUUCUUCCACAUCUUUCUUAUUCUGGGCACACUUUAAUAAAAUGCUGCUUUUUCUCAUGUACUUCUUAGGACUUGGGGAAAAAAAAAAACCAAACUCUGACCUUCUUUGUAUAGCUUUCUUUUAGUGAGGAUUUUAUCUUUCAACCAGAACCAGAAAGUGACUAAGUAAUUUCUCAGAACUAGUAUGAGCUCAUUUGGUCUUGCUUAGUUCUCUCGAGCAAUAAAAGUAGUACUUUUCAACCGUGUAUAUUUCAUGACACAUUUACAAAUUUGCUGCAGGCAGCAAAACAAGUUUCUGAUAGAGCAAAGCAGGAGAUAAACCUGACCACGGACACUGGGAAAAUUCUCAACAUGCAAACACCUUAGUCUAACAACUUCUCCUGACCACUGUGGAAGUGGAAGCAGAUUAUAUUCAAUGUGCAACAAACUUGUUUUGUUAGCCACCUUUUCAAAAAUAUUUAUCUCCCCUCUUUCCCUCCUUCCCAGUGACAACUCUAUGUCUACCUCUGUUUGCAGUACCCAAUCUCGGAUUUCUUCCCCUAACAUAUUUUUCACUCUGUGUCUGUUUUGGAGGGACACAGAAAAUAUUAGAAAGAACGUAAGAAUUGUAAUGAAGUAGAUCUAGGUCCUCAUGUAACUCCACUGCUGUGCUAUGUGAGUCAGAUCACUCAAGCUCUCUGAGCUGCAGUUUCGUUUUUUUUCUGAAAUAGAGACAAUAAUGCUUUAUGUGAGGACUAAACUAGAUAUGCAAAAAAAGAAAGUCAACAAAUUGUGUAUUUAUAAUAAGAGUCAAAGGGGAACUUUGGCUACACUGUUGCAGGGGUCCGUGGCCUCAGAAUAGCAUAAGAUUUGGUGCUGAACGUCCCUGCAGUCUGGCCCCUGAAAGUAGUAGAUAAAGGAAUUUAGUCUGAUUUUCUUUUUACUCCUUCUUUUAGGCAAACAUUUCAGUGUUUAUUGUAUCCCUUUCUGUUGGACAAUAAGAUUUGCAAAUAUGAGUUCAAAUUGCCAGGAAACUCAAUUUUCUUUUCUCCUCAUUUCUCUGAACUUUUCCCACAAAAACAUUCACAUAGGGUUCCUGACAUUAUAAAGAAAUAGAAGUUAUAGCAUAGACUGGGAAAAUAAUUUUCCUGGAAAGACCAGGACAUGAAAUCCCAAUCGAGACCAUCUAUUAGGAUUCUAUUUAAAUAAACUCAGAAAAAUUGUAUUUAACCAAAUUUCAAAAUAUAAAUUAUCUGUUUAUGCAUAAC
This 2371-nucleotide long non-coding RNA is filed under the name Equus caballus (horse). Its description in RNAcentral is "lncRNA (ENSECAG00000051661.1)". The record is from RNAcentral. Lineage: Eukaryota; Metazoa; Chordata; Mammalia; Perissodactyla; Equidae.